Molecule: ribosomal RNA, 839 nt
Filed under: uncultured bacterium
Lineage: Bacteria
Description: partial 16S small subunit ribosomal RNA
Rfam family: Bacterial small subunit ribosomal RNA
Source: RNAcentral
UCGAGCGGAAACNANUUGUCUGAGCCUUCGGGGAACGAUAACGGNNNCNAGCGGNGGANGGGUGANUAAUGCCUAAGAAAUUGCCUUGAUGUGGGGGAUAACCNUUGGAAACGAUGGCUAAUACCGCAUAAUGCCUACGGGCCNNAGAGGGGGACCUUCNGGCCUCUCGCGNCNNGAUNUGCCUAGGGGGGAUUAGNUAGUUGGUGAGGUAAUGGCUCACCAAGGCGACGAUCCCUAGCUGGUCUGAGAGGAUGAUCANCCACACUGGAACUGANACNCGGUCCANACUCCUACGGGAGGCAGCAGUGGGGAAUAUUGCACAAUGGGCGCAAGCCUGAUGCAGCCAUGCCGCGUGUAUGAAGAAGGCCUUCNGGUUGUAAAGUACUUUCAGCAAUGAGGAAGGGGGUGUCGUUAAUAGCGGCAUUUCUUGACGUUAGCUGCAGAANAAGCACCGGCUAACUCCGUGCCAGCAGCCGCGGUAAUACGGAGGGUGCGAGCGUUAAUCGGAAUUACUGGGCGUAAAGCGCAUGCAGGUGGUUUGUUAAGUCAGAUGUGAAAGCCCGGGGCUCANCCUCGGAACUGCAUUUGAAACUGGCAAACUAGAGUACUGUAGAGGGGGGUAGAAUUUCAGGUGUAGCGGUGAAAUGCGUANAGAUCUGAAGGAAUACCAGUGGCGAANGCGGCCCCCUGGACAGAUACUGACACUCANAUGCGAAAGCGUGGGGAGCAAACANGAUUAGAUACCCUGGUAGUCCACGCCGUAAACNAUGUCUACUUGGAGGUUGUGGCCUUGAGCCGNNNNUUUCGNANCUAACGCGUUAAGUAGACCGNCUGGGGAG